Non-coding RNA from Paramuricea clavata, 152 nucleotides. NCBI's taxonomy places the organism in Eukaryota, Metazoa, Cnidaria, Anthozoa, Malacalcyonacea, Plexauridae. The record is from the annotation of a GenBank genome assembly.
UUAUCAGACUUGUAGCAAAGUUGUUCUAACAAGUCUGAUACAGUCAUGAUAUAACAAGAAUGUCACAAGGUUGAUCACACAAUGUUGUAACAAUAUUGUUAUAUCAUGACUGUAUCGGACUUGUUGGCACAACCUUGCUACAAGUCUGAUAA